This 72-nucleotide transfer RNA is filed under the name Salmo salar (Atlantic salmon). It matches the Rfam family "tRNA". From Rfam's summary of the family: Transfer RNA (tRNA) molecules are approximately 80 nucleotides in length. Their secondary structure includes four short double-helical elements and three loops (D, anti-codon, and T loops). Further hydrogen bonds mediate the characteristic L-shaped molecular structure. tRNAs have two regions of fundamental functional importance: the anti-codon, which is responsible for specific mRNA codon recognition, and the 3' end, to which the tRNAs corresponding amino acid is attached (by aminoacyl-tRNA synthetases). tRNAs cope with the degeneracy of the genetic code in two manners: having more than one tRNA (with a specific anti-codon) for a particular amino acid; and 'wobble' base-pairing, i.e. permitting non-standard base-pairing at the 3rd anti-codon position. The record is from Rfam by way of RNAcentral. Lineage: Eukaryota; Metazoa; Chordata; Actinopteri; Salmoniformes; Salmonidae.
CUCCCUAUGGCUCAGUUGGUAGAGCAUGGUGUUUGCAAUGCCAGGGUUGUGGGUUCGAUUCCCACAGGGGGC